AGAUGUGGUGUUGGAAGCCUCCCGUCGAUGCACUGAACUGAAAUGGAAAUCGCCUGGAAUGGCGUUCCCAAGAGGGUGAGAGACCCGUACAUGUAAGGGUCAGUGUAUCCGGGAGUGUCUUGAGUAGUGCGGGUCGGUAUUCUCGCAUGAAUCCGGGGGUCAUCAACCUCCAAAACUAAAUACUUCUCGAAACCGAUAGCGAACUAGUAGCGUGAGCGAAAGCUGAAAAGGAUCCCGAAAAAGGAUGUGAAAAGCGCCUGAAACUAGUCGGUGAUAGCGUGUUAUGGCAUGCAAGGAUCUUCUGCGUGAAGGAACCCGUCGCGAGGCGGUAGUACGGGCGUCAGUUGCCGAUGUCAUAACGUACGUUUUGAAGAACGGGCCAGAGAGUUUAUUCUGCAGGCGAGGUUAACCCGGAAGGGGAGCCGUAGCGAAAGCAACAGGUUCGUAGCAUUCGUGCCUGGAACGGCGUAUUCAACGUGCGUGGAGUCUGCAGGAUAAGACCUGAAACCCGGUGAUCUAUGCGUGGGCAGGUUGAAGCGUGCCGAAAGGUGCGUGGAGGACCGCAAGCGGUAUUGAUAUGCAAAUCAUUCGCGUGACCUGUGUAUAGGAGUGAAAGAUUCAUCGAACCGGGAGUCAGCUGGUUCCCCUCGAAACAUGCCGCAGCAUGACCUCGUCGGAGAUGGUUGGUGAGGUAGAGCACUGAUUGGAGAUCCCGGGGGAGAAAUCCCUCGCUCUCCUGUCAAACUCCAAACUCCCCAACGUCGGAGAUGGCGGGCAGUCCGGGCUACGGGGUAAGCUUGUAGUCCGUAAGGGAGACAACCCAGACCGUGGUUGAUGCCCCCCAAUGUAGGCUAAGUGUCAACACUGAAUGAGGUCCCAGGCCACAGACAACUGGGAGGUGAGCUUAGAAGCAGCUACCCUUUAAAAAGUGCGUAACAGCUUACCAGUCAAGGUUUGGGGCGCAGAAAAUGGACGGGGCUCAAGCCUACUGCAGAGACCACGGCGCACCAUUUCGAUGGUGAUCGCGUAGAGGGGCGUCCUGCAUGGAGAGAAGCAGGGGCGUGAGGUCCUGUGGACCGUGCAGGAAUGAGAAUUCUGGCAGUAGUAGAAGCAUAGAACGGUGAGAAUCCGUUCCGCCGAAAGGGCCAGGUUUCCUCGGCAAUGUUCGUCAGCCGAGGGUUAGUCGGUCCUAAGUUGUGCCGUAAUCCGAGCACGACAACAGGGAAACAGGUUAAUAUUCCUGUACCAUACAUGCAUCGUCAUGCAAAUGACCCUGACGCUUCGGGAUAUACCACGCGGAACUGUCGUUUCCGUUCAAGCGUUCAACGCGGUGGAGUACCGUCAUGGUGAGAAACCGCAGAAGACGUGAUGAGGAAACGUGGUCGAUUCCUGGAGCCCGUGAAAAAGGGCAUGUAUGACCGUACCGAGAACUGACACAGGUGCCCCUGGUUGAAAAGACCAAGGCGUGUCGGAGCUAAUUGUGGUAAGGGAACUCGGCAAAAUGGCCCCGUAACUUCGGGAGAAGGGGUGCCUGCCUGGUGAUCAGGCAGGUCGCAGUGACCAGGGAACUCCAACUGUCUAAUAACAACACAGCAGACUGCAACUCGGAAACGACUCGUAUAGUCUGUGAAUCCUGCCCAGUGCGGGUAUCUGAACACCGAGUUCAAUCGGACGAAGGACCCGUAAACGGCGGGGGUAACUAUGACCCUCUUAAGGUAGCGUAGUACCUUGUCGCUUAAUUGGCGACUUGCAUGAAUGGAACAAUGAGAGUUCUACUGUCCCUACCACAAGCCCGUUGAACCUUUUAUCCUAGUGCAGAAACUAGGGACUCCUGAUGGGAAGUGAAGACCCCGUGGAGCUUUACUGCAGCCUGUCGGUGUAGUACGGUAUUGCAUGCGCAGUGUAGAUGGGAGACGUCGAACCGUUCCUUCCGGGGAACGGGGAGUCGCCAAUGAGACACCAUCCCUGCUCUGCUGUACUACUCACUCUUCUUCAGUGAAGAGGACAUCGG
RNAcentral lists this ribosomal RNA (2011 nucleotides) under anaerobic digester metagenome. RNAcentral's name for it is "bacterial LSU rRNA". It matches the Rfam family "Archaeal large subunit ribosomal RNA", at positions 281 to 2323 of the family's 2987-position model. The record is from RNAcentral.